UGUGACUGAUUUAUUUCUCCAAAUAUUUUCGUUUUUGUUCCCUCUGUUAACCAUAUGCACUCUGAACUACCAAUCCCACAAUAUAAAAACAUUUUAUGUGCUCUUUUUAUCAUUUAGCGAAUAAGAAUCCUUUUUCGGAUUUGCUUCCUUGUCUCUCCCUCCCUUGAUAGCAGCGGCAUUAUAAAUGCACAAUUGGAAAGAAAGCCUAAGACUUGUUAGGCUCCAAAUUUGCAAUCCCACAAGGGAUUUUAAUAUUUAGAGCAAGAAGGACACAAAUGAUUCAUAACAAAUUUCAAGUCAUACACUGAUGCAGUUGAAGCACACCAGUUGUCACAGUUGAGAGAACGUUCGCCCCAGCUCAUCUGGAUGCAAUUUUGCGCCAAGCGGAUUUUACAUUUCCGUUCUCACGUUUGCAGUAUGCAACUGUACUUCUGUAUUGUCUAGAUGCCUCUGUGUAUCUUCAUCCUCAUGUGUAAGUGCUCCGGCUUCCCGCCCUCGUGGGUCACACUGCACGUCUUCCUGACAUUGACUCCCUGCCGCGCUUCAAAUUGGAAUCGACAGAGGAGCUGUCGAGCUGUUUUCUUGCCCACCUCCAGUCCGCCGAGUGACCCCGCAUGCAGUCGGUUCCUUUGGUAUGAAAGCUCCCCCUUCGAGGUUUGCAUCUUAAGGCCAUUAUCUGGAGGUAAAUCAUGGAUUGCUUUCGAAAUUUGAAAUAUCUACUUUGCAAAUCAAAUUGUGGCUCAAGCAAAAUUCUGCAAUUUAUUACAGUUAUGAAAGAAUGGUUUGAUUCAUUUUUGUACUCUAAUUUAAUCAUACACUAAAAAAAAGACUGAAUAAUGUUAUUUUGCAAAGGAAAGCAUUAGUUUAACAUAUCAAAGGAGUAAGAAAUGUAAAAAUUUAAAUAUACCGUUUUAUAUAAUUUAACCCUUUCAGCGGUUACAGGGGGCAAGAAAGGGUAAAAUAAACUCUAUAACAUAUUUUACAGACAUGUCUUUUUCAAAUGAUUAUUUUCAUCCCGUCUACGAAUGACUUGGCCCAUCUGUCCAUAUGAAAAAUCUAAUUUGGCCCCCAAGCACCAACGUUCGCCCACCUAUGCUCUAACGCAAUUGUGCAGUCGUGAAACGUAUCAAGGCCGCAAAGCCUGACAAGGCUCAUCUGACAAAAGCCUUAGCGAUCCACUACAAAAUGCAUGACAUGACUCCCACCAAAACUCGCAAGCACGACUCCGCUGCCGCAGACGCGCAUUAACAGUGCAUGAGAAUGGGAACAUGUCAGCAUGCGAAACACUGUCAGACAUCCCCCAUGCCUCCAGUCUAUCACACAGACUGCAGACACAGUGGAUGUCAUGUAACUUUUUUUUGGGGGGGUGGACGUGGCUGUUUAAAAAUGAGGAUCAAAGCGUGGCACAAACUUUUGUUUUUUGGGGAGUUUUAUUGCCAAAAAGCCCCCAUAAAAAAUGCAUUUGCUGGAUGUGGAAACCAUUCCAAUGCAGCAGCUGUUUCUACUGAACAAUUUAAAAAAUAUAUAUUUAAUGUACAAUCUGGAAAACAGUUCACUAGAUUUUAUUAUAAGUGGGAAGAUAUCAGCUGUUUUUAUUUGUUUUUAUUUAUGACAAUGCCGUGUUAAUUUCUAAGUACCCCCGUCUCACAGCUCUUGCUCAUAAAUCUUCAAUGCAGACAAGUCUGACACUUUUGAAAGGGGAACUUGAACGCAUUUGUGCGGAUGAGACGCAAGGCUCGGAUUUGUACACGAAGCCACAACCUGUGCGGUAUUUACUACAAAGCUGAAGUCAUACGAAUAAAUCUUCAAUGACUCGCGUACGUGGGCCAGUCAAUCAGUGAGACUUCCGCAUGCUCUUGGUUCUAAUAUAAAGUUAUGGAUUGUUGACAUUGAGACACAUGCACACACACAACCAGACUCUUCAUUUGGCACACCUGCACAACCUAAUCGGAUCCAAAACACGAUUUCAGACCGCAAAAAGUAAA
This is a long non-coding RNA of Hippocampus zosterae (dwarf seahorse), 1985 nucleotides long. RefSeq lists it as uncharacterized. NCBI's taxonomy places the organism in Eukaryota, Metazoa, Chordata, Actinopteri, Syngnathiformes, Syngnathidae. The transcript is spliced from 2 exons. The record is from RefSeq and is a predicted model, not a curated record.